RNAcentral lists this transfer RNA (99 nucleotides) under candidate division MSBL1 archaeon SCGC-AAA259E22. Its description in RNAcentral is "candidate divison MSBL1 archaeon SCGC-AAA259E22 tRNA". It matches the Rfam family "tRNA". From Rfam's summary of the family: Transfer RNA (tRNA) molecules are approximately 80 nucleotides in length. Their secondary structure includes four short double-helical elements and three loops (D, anti-codon, and T loops). The record is from Rfam by way of RNAcentral. Lineage: Archaea; Methanobacteriati; Methanobacteriota.
GCGGGUGUAGUGUUAGCGGUUUAACACUCCUCCCUUCCACGGAAAAUGGCUACUUCCCGAAGAUAGGAGGCACCGGCGGUUCGAAUCCGUCCGCCCGCA